Long non-coding RNA from Diabrotica virgifera virgifera (western corn rootworm), 1012 nucleotides. RefSeq lists it as uncharacterized. The transcript has 2 exons. The record is from RefSeq and is a predicted model, not a curated record. NCBI's taxonomy places the organism in Eukaryota, Metazoa, Arthropoda, Insecta, Coleoptera, Chrysomelidae.
GUAAAAAGUUACCAGCAAGGGUUGUCUGGAGUUAGGGAGACAUGUGUGUGACAACUCCUGUUGGAGCCUAAUAGGAAUCAUUCGCCAUUUGGAAGAAACCCUAACAUGAAACCGUAGCCCUUUGACCACCCAGGGAAACCACUGCAGCCACGGCCAAGUCACCAUUGGGAAUAUGUCUAAUUGGGAGCAAGCUAUGGGAGCGUUCCAGCUCAAUUUUCGUCUUGGCACCUGGGCCUACAGGAGUCAUGGGGUCGCACCAUCCUGGUGCAUCAUUUUCUAGGAUGCAACCGCAACCUCGUUUGGGAACAUUUAGUGAGGUGUUUUAGUAACUAUUGGUUUUUUUAUAUUUCAGACUAUCUGUUAAAUACACUAUGUUUUUUUUCCAGAUUUAGGUUACCUCUGGUUUUUUUUUUGACAUAUUUGUAUAUUAGAUUAUUUGGUUCCCAAACUUUGUAUCUAUGGUAACUUCUUGUGCACAGGAAUAAGCCUAGAGAAAAUUAGGUUUUUAAUACUUUACUAUUGCUUUGAUAUUGGUUUAUGUAAUUCGGGUAAAUUUAUUUUUUAAUAUUACUAGCUUGUUUCCCAAAUAUUUUACUGUUAUUCGCUUUAUUCCAUUUUGUUCGGUUAAUUUAGGUCAUCGUCGGUAUUUAUCUCAACUUCAUUUCUACUUUAGUCAAUUGUAUAUUUAACUUUAUUUAUUCAUUAUUGUAUUUUCCCUUAGUGAGGCUUGGGCCUAUUUAUUUGUAGUAUUUUCAUCUUUGUCAGUUUCAUUUAGUUGUACGUAGCAGGCGUACUAUAACCAUUUGGUAGAAGACUUAUGUAAUUUUGUACCCUAUAUAUAUGUAAGAGGUAUUUAAGUUUAUAACAGAUAACAUUAUUGUUGUUAUCUUUAAAAUAUAUAUAGCUUCUUGUAUAACUUAUGUCAUUUUAGAGUUACAUGAUAUAUGCUUGUCUAACUCAGAGAUUGUUAAAAAUCUAGUAGUUAUUUUAAUAAAUAUUUAUUUAUUUUGUA